This is a small nuclear RNA of Phyllostomus hastatus (greater spear-nosed bat), 105 nucleotides long. Lineage: Eukaryota; Metazoa; Chordata; Mammalia; Chiroptera; Phyllostomidae. The record is from RefSeq and is a predicted model, not a curated record.
GCUCGCUCCGGCAGCACAGGAACUACAAUCGGAAUGCCACAGAGAAGACCAGCAUGGGCCCUGAGUGAGGAUGAGAUGCAAAGUCAUGGAGUCUUUGUGUUUUUA